RNAcentral lists this long non-coding RNA (4276 nucleotides) under Sus scrofa (pig). RNAcentral describes it as "lncRNA (ENSSSCG00040023806.1)". Lineage: Eukaryota; Metazoa; Chordata; Mammalia; Artiodactyla; Suidae. The record is from RNAcentral.
CUUUUGUCUUUUUGUUGUUGUUGCUAUUUAUUGGGCCGCUCCCGCGGCAUAUGGAGGUUCCCAGGCUAGGGGUCGAAUUGGAGCUGUAGCCACCGGCCUACGCCAGAGCCACAGCAACGCGGGAUCCGAGCCGCGUCUGCAACCUACACCACAGCUCACGGCAACGCCGGAUCGUUAACCCACUAAGCAAGGGCAGGGACCGAACCCGCAACCUCAUGGUUCCUAGUCGGAUUCGUUAACCACUGCGCCACGACGGGAACUCCUUGUUUUGUUUUCUUUUCUUUUUGCCUUGUUUCUAGGGCUGCUUCUGUGGCAUUUGGAGGUUCCCAGGCUAAGGGUCUAAUCGGAGCUUUAGCCGCUGGCCUACGCCAGAGUCAUAGCAACACGGGAUCUGCGCCUUGUCUGCGACCUACACCACAGCUCACAGCAACGCCAGAUCCUUAACCCACUGAGCAAGGCCAGGGACUGAACCUGAAACCUCAUGGUUCCUAGUUGGAUUCGUUAACCACUGUGCCGCGACGGGAACUCCCAUCAUCAGUUAUUAUUUUACAAUGGAAAACUAUGGAUUGUAUAGGCCAAAUGACAUAACUUUCCUAACUAAGGGCCCAGAAUCAAACUCAAAAUCUAGUGUUCUUUUCCUGAUACCAUUUGACCCCCAACCAAAGUUUAAUAUAAUGUUUCUUUUUUUCUUAAUCUGUCUCUAUUUACUCAAUCUUAUAUACUUAAUAGGACCUUUACCAAUGCUGGGGGGGGGCAGGUAUUAUUGAUAUUAUUGAACAAAUUUAAUAAAUUUAAACUAGCACACAUUAUACCUCAUAAUAUUUCAGGAUUUUUCUCAUCCAACAGAAUUUUCAAGAGACAUACAUCACUCAACAGACACCAUCACCCACGACAGAAACCUUCUGCCUUUCCACCCACCCGCUUCCUCAAGCUAUAAAAACUGCAAAUGGGAGAGCUAGUCCACUGAACCCAUACAAGCAAUCAUUUAUUCCUCCACUAAAAGCAGAAUAUGGCAGGGGGAAUUUGGGAGGAGUGAAAUGAGGGUUGUCAGACUAACAGUGACAAAUGAGAUACGAUUGUUCUCCAAAAGCUUGGAGCCAAGGGGUCUUCCCUUUUCCCCUCCCCUUAAUCCCCACUGCUUCCAACCAGUGUAAAAAUAAAAUGAUUACCAGUGUGUGAUGGGAUAAAAAUUGCUUUGGGCAUUUUUUUCCUCAGAGAACACAAGAUUGAAUUGGAAGAAUGAGGCUAGAGCUUCAAGAUACACACUGGAAGGGAGGAGUUGUAUUAAGGCUGUGUUAGAAAGGAGAAAUACACACGGGGGGUCCUGGCUGUCACAAAAUAUCAUGCAAACCUUGUGCAUACCCAGCCUGCCAAACAAGGAGCCCAUCACUACUGGAUAAUACACCCAAGAUUAUUGCCCCUGUUCAUUUGGGUUUUAAGGAAUAUUCUGUCAGCCUCUUGCUCCCCUCCCUGUUAGUUACUGUCAUGGUUUUUGGGUCAGUUUUGUUAGACUGUCGUACCAGAUGACUCAAUCAAACAGCACUCAAGGUGUUUCUGGGAAGGCACAUUGUAGACGUGACCAACAGCUACAACCAGUUGGCUUUAUAGAGAUCAUCCUGGAUAAUCUAGGUGGGUCUGACCCAAUUUGCCAAGGCCUUAGGGACAGAAUUGAGGUUUCCCUGAGGAAGAAGACACUUCCUGUGGACUGCAGCAUUAGCUCUUAAAACAAGAAUUUUCAAACUCCCCUUCCUAAUGACCCACCCUAUGGAUUUUGGACUUGCCCAGUAAGCUCUCAAAGUCGCAUUACAAUUCCCUGCAAUCAAUCUUUCUCCCUCUUCUCUCUGCAGCUCUCUCUCUCUGUACUGGUUCUGGUUUUUUGGUGGAACCCUGACUGAUACACUUAUCAAGUACACAUGCAGUGAUUUGCUUAGCCAAGUGGAAUUUUACAGGUUGAACUGUGUUCCCCCAAAAUUCAUUAUUUUGAAGUCCCGACAUCUAGUAUCUCAGAAUCUGAUCUCAUUUGGAAAUCGGGUCACUACAGACAUAAUUAGUUAAGGUGAGGUCAUUAGGGUGGGCUCUCAUAUGACUGGUAUCCUUAGGAAAAAGACACAGUUUGGGCAUAGGCACCCACACAGGGAGAAGGACAGGUGAAGAUGGAGACAUCAGUGAUGCUUUUCAAGCCACCGAAUACCAAAGGUGGCCAGCAAACCCCCAGAGGGUAGAACUUAGAGGCUUGGAACAGAUUGUUUCCCGGAGCCCUCAGAAGGAAGCAGCCGUGCUGUCACUUUGAUCUUGGACGUCUAGCCUCCAGAACUGAUACAAUAAAUUUGUAUUGUUUAAGCCACUCAUUUUGUUGUACUUUCUUAAAGCAGCCCUAGAAAACAAAUACAAGGCAUUACCAGGAAAACUAAGGGAACUGAAUUAGGAAAAGUUAAGAAAAGGACAAAGUUACUUCUAAGAAUUUGAGAAAGCUCCAUUUCCUUAAUGUCUUUGAAAUAAAAACUAAUCUCUUCUUACAUUUAACUAUUUUACUGUCAAUAUCCACUCAGGAAGAAAAGUCGUGCAACAAAUAGUUACGGAGAUGUACAAAUGCACCAGAAAUUUCUGAAUGUGAUCUUUCGGAAUGUUCAUUCCUUGAUCUAGUCUCCUUUUGGAUACCAGACCCUAUGGAACUCUCCAUGACCAUUCAUUCCUUCAUAUAUGACACUUGUGGAGUAUAGCUCUUUUAUAGGAAAAGCUACCCACCAUCACCUGGUGCCCCUUCCCUUUUUCUAGCAAAUGAAGUUAAUACAGAUCCUGCAAAAGGAAACAAAUAAUUCUGCCCAAGGGUUCCACACAGCUUACAAUAUGGCAGAACUGGAACCCAGAUCAUUUGAUCCUCUAUUCAGUGAUUUCCUAAGACGUUAUUUCUAUCCAUUUAUUGAGUUAGCAGCUCACAUAACUGCUCUCAAAUUAUCAUAUCAGGAACAUUUAGAAGGAGCAUGUCUUAUCUAAAUAUUAUGUUUUUGCUAAUACCCAGGAAUGUGGCUUUGGAUAGAUUACUCCUCUCUUUUAGAUAUGUUUUCUCAUCUAUAAAAUAAAACUGCCCUGGAUAAUCUAUUUCACAGUAAUAGAAUCAGCAUCAGCAUAGUGGAAAGACCUUGAUUUGAGUCCACUUACUGUCAGUCUCUAUGUAAAUAACAGUAGCCAAGUUAUUAGCUUUAUUGAGUUUUUUUUCUUCAUUUGUAAAAUGGGAAUUGGGAUGACAUCUCUUUUACUGGGCCACUUUAAGGAUGACAUGAGCUAACCCAUGUGGGAACAUGUUAGAAACUCUGAAGUGCAUUAAGGAAGAUAAAGGAGGUAACAUUCCAUAACCUAUAAUCUCUCCCAUCCCACACUUGUAGAGGGUAAGCACUGCAAAAUGUCCUAUGUGGUUUCAUCAGACUUGUUCAGAAAGUCAUAUUCUAUCUGAAUGUAUCAGUUUAAUGUGUUUUACAAGCUUCAAAGUCUGACCUAGGAUACAAAAGAGCAUUUUUUUUCAGGACCUAGUAAUUAUUUGGUAAAUUGGGGUAUCCCCAUGAUGUGCCCCUAAGCAUUUCUUUCACUAUUUUCAUCCCUUGCUUAUCUAGUUCCCUAUCUACACUGUAAGCACUUAAGACAAUAGGGACUAUGUUUUGGUCACCUCUAUAUUCUAGCAUCUAUCUGUCUUUUGAAUUAACACUUGAAUAAAUAACCCAAUCUUGUUCAAUUCCAUCUUGACAAUAAUAACUUUAAGUAAAAAGUUUAAGGUAAAAAGAAAUUGACUUAAGGUAGUAUUUAAAUAUGAUAAAUGUAAAACACAUUUAUAUCAAGUCCAUUACUAAAAACAGUUGACCAUUGCAAGUAAAAUUACUUAAGCCUGGAAGUUUACUAUUAGUCUAUUAAUUUAUAUGAUUCCCCCAUGUCUAAUAGAACCCAUUGAUUAUAAAGCAAUUUAUAAACAUCAAUUUUCUAGGCUGUGAAGGCAUAGAAAUUAUAAGGAAGAGACAGUUGUGCUGAAAUUGUGUGGUAUAAAGAUGUCACAGUUUGAAAUAUAGUUAUAGAUUUCUGAAUGUAAAUGGAGUCAUCAGAAUAAGACUACGAAUUUCACGUGCUUUGAGAAACUUAGCUUGUUUAACACUGACUCAGUGACUUCAUAGCUAAUGAGAGUUACAACGCCUCAGAUUCUGAAAGAAUACACCUAUGAAAUUUAUGGAGUAGGAUUUCAAAAUGCCCAACAUGUUUGCCAAAGAGUGACACAACAGGCUAUUUUAAAGAA